RNAcentral lists this microRNA precursor (100 nucleotides) under Triticum urartu. RNAcentral describes it as "MIR9666 microRNA precursor family". It matches the Rfam family "MIR9666 microRNA precursor family". Lineage: Eukaryota; Viridiplantae; Streptophyta; Magnoliopsida; Poales; Poaceae. The record is from Rfam by way of RNAcentral.
UCAUUCAGAUUCGCCAUCAUAUGUCCAACCGUGCAUUUGAUAUGCAUAUAUAUAUGCAUCAUGAGCCACGGUUGGGCUGUAUGAUGGCGAUACCGAUUGG